UACGGAGGGUGCAAGCGUUAUCCGGAUUCACUGGGUUUAAAGGGUGCGUAGGUGGGCAGGUAAGUCAGUGGUGAAAUCCCCGAGCUUAACUUGGGAACUGCCGUUGAUACUAUCUGUCUUGAAUAUUGUGGAGGUGAGCGGAAUAUGUCAUGUAGCGGUGAAAUGCUUAGAUAUGACAUAGAACACCAAUUGCGAAGGCAGCUCACUACACAAUCAUUGACGCUGAGGCACGAAAGCGUGGGGAUCAAACAGG
RNAcentral lists this ribosomal RNA (253 nucleotides) under uncultured bacterium. Its description in RNAcentral is "partial 16S ribosomal RNA". It matches the Rfam family "Bacterial small subunit ribosomal RNA", at positions 524 to 776 of the family's 1533-position model. The record is from RNAcentral.